Molecule: ribosomal RNA, 345 nt
Filed under: uncultured bacterium
Lineage: Bacteria
Description: partial 16S ribosomal RNA
Rfam family: Bacterial small subunit ribosomal RNA
Source: RNAcentral
CCUACGUGUGGCAGCAGUGAGGAAUAUUGGUCAAUGGGCGGAAGCCUGAACCAGCCCAGUAGCGUGCAGGAUGACGGCCCUACGGGUUGUAAACUUCUUUUAUAUGGGAAUAACGCGCCUUACGUGUAGGGCUUUGCAUGUACCGUAUGAAUAAGGACCGGCUAAUUCCGUGCCAGCAGCCGCGGUAAUAAGGCAUGUCCGUGCGUUAUCCGGAUUUUUUGGGGUUAAAGGGCGCGUAGGCCUCAUGUCAAGCGUGCUGUGAAAUGUCCGGGCUCAACCCGGGCCUUGCAGCGCGAACUGGCGUGCUUGAGUCCGCGGAAAGCAGGCGGAAUUCGUCGUGUAGCG